UACGUAGGGUGCGAGCGUUGUCCGGAAUUAUUGGGCGUAAAGAGCUUGUAGGCGGUUUGUCGCGUCUGCUGUGAAAAUCCGGGGCUUAACCCCGGACUUGCAGUGGGUACGGGCAGACUAGAGUGUGGUAGGGGAGACUGGAAUUCCUGGUGUAGCGGUGAAAUGCGCAGAUAUCAGGAGGAACACCGAUGGCGAAGGCAGGUCUCUGGGCCACUACUGACGCUGAGAAGCGAAAGCAUGGGGAGCGAACAGGAUUAGAUACCCGGGUA
This 269-nucleotide ribosomal RNA is filed under the name uncultured prokaryote. RNAcentral's name for it is "partial 16S ribosomal RNA". It matches the Rfam family "Bacterial small subunit ribosomal RNA", at positions 524 to 792 of the family's 1533-position model. The record is from RNAcentral.